AGGUUUUCGAAUCCGUGUUGAGAUUUCGUCCGACAGCAACCCAUUAAAGCUGAUCAGACUUCCAAGAUAAGUGAAGUU
Schistosoma margrebowiei is the source of this 78-nucleotide non-coding RNA. The record is from Rfam. Lineage: Eukaryota; Metazoa; Platyhelminthes; Trematoda; Strigeidida; Schistosomatidae.